UGGGGAAUUUUGGACAAUGGGGGCAACCCUGAUCCAGCCAUGCCGCGUGAGUGAAGAAGGCCUUCGGGUUGUAAAGCUCUUUCGGCCGGAACGAAAUCGCAUCUCCUAACACGGGGUGUGGAUGACGGUACCGGAAGAAGAAGCACCGGCUAACUACGUGCCAGCAGCCGCGGUAAUACGUAGGGUGCGAGCGUUAAUCGGAAUUACUGGGCGUAAAGCGUGCGCAGGCGGCUCUUUAAGUCAGAUGUGAAAGCCCCGGGCUUAACCUAGGAACUGCGUUUGAAACUGGAGAGCUUGAGUGUGGCAGAGGGAGGUGGAAUUCCACGUGUAGCAGUGAAAUGCGUAGAGAUGUGGAGGAACACCAAUGGCGAAGGCAGCCUCCUGGGCCAACACUGACGCUCAUGCACGAAAGCGUGGGGAGCAAACAGGAUUAGAUACCCUGGUAGUCCACGCCCUAAACGAUGUCGACUAGUUGUUGGGGAGGGAAACUUCCUUAGUAACGAAGCUAACGCGUGAAGUCGACCGCCUGGGGAGUACGGCCGCAAGGUUA
RNAcentral lists this ribosomal RNA (550 nucleotides) under uncultured bacterium. RNAcentral describes it as "bacterial SSU rRNA". It matches the Rfam family "Bacterial small subunit ribosomal RNA", at positions 355 to 896 of the family's 1533-position model. The record is from RNAcentral.